GAGAGAAGAAAAAUCCAUGGAGGCUGUGGCAAAUUCAGGAUCUUUAAGCAUCCUUCCUGUUCUCUGCUUGGCUGCAGGUGAAUAUUUAUAGUCUGGUCCAGGAAUCUUGAUAAAUGGAAUAGAUGAUGAUUUUGGUGGAUGAGUGUAGGUUGAUAAUCUUGAUUUUGUUCUGGAUGGUUUUAUUUUCAUGCAUUUAUUUUAUAUAUUUAUUUAAUCUUGCUGUCUGUGUCUAAAAUGAAGCCAGCUACGAUUUAUGCAGAGACAAAGUAAUAAUGGAAAAAGGAGCUGCUUCAUUGUGCUGGUAAGGUGUAAUGAUUAUUAGAUGUGAGCAGUGUGCUGGAGGUUUGAAGGUAAUUGUGAAACACUAGGAACUCAGUGUAUGAUGGCGUUUGCUGAUUGUAUCAUCUCUGGAAUGGCAUGGAAGCUAUUAUAUUUAAGACAGCGAAAUCCAUGGGUUAUGAUGUGGUCUGCUAAAGACAGAUCUGGCACAUGAUGUUUUCUUUCAGGUGCUUGAUCACAGUUGCAGGGUCAGUGCUGGAUAACAACGCUUAACACGUAGGAGGGACACUGGUAGAUUUAUGUGUUCUUUGGUGCAACCCCUGGAAUAACUAGAAGAUGUAGCAAAUGGGUGCAGGAGUUGUAUGGAGUGGGGGCAGGGCAGUAUGUAGACCAGUGGAAGCUGGAAAUUAAAUGCCACUGCUUAUUAUUGUUAUUAUUUAUAAAGCACCAAACAAAUUCUGCAGCGUUGUACAAUGGAUUGACUAACAAAUGCGUAUUUGUAGCCAGACAAGUUGGAUGCACAAGAACAGAGGGGGUUAGGGGCCCUACUCAAAUGAGCUUACAUACUAGAGCUUAGUGCAAUGUAUUCAUUUAACACUGAUUUUUGGUGAAAGAAAAAAAAGAAAUUGCUUAUAUUUGGCCAAAUGUAUCAAGGUGGGAAAUAAGCUAAAUUAGAUACACUAUUUGACCUAAAUGUAGCAUUUUGUUUUUCAGUUCAUCACAACUGGAUUUUUAUAGAAUAGACCUAUGUGGGUUUGAACAUUGUGCCUAUUGAAGAAGUGUGGCAUGCAUAUCUGAGGUGUUCUGGAACAUAAUGACAGUAUUUACCUGUAUUAUAUUGUGUACUUUAAAAUUUAGGGGGCAGGAAGAAUGAUAUGGGUUUUGGUUAUGUGUGUGUUUUUAGGGUUUUGAAGGGCAGAGAGUUCCAGCUUUAGAACUGUGUGGGCUGGGUGAGGGGGAGGAAGGAGUCUGAGAAUAGUCAAGAGAUGGAGUCACACAGAUGUGUCUGGAAUAGCAAUGGAGAGCAGUUACUGUGGUGGUUAAACGAGAGAGCAAAUAAAAUGGCAGGGAUGUGCAAUUAGAGAAUGUUCUCUGUUGUAAAAGUAUUAUUACACAAUGGAUCGUCAGAAGAGGUGAAUUAGUGUGGUAGGAUUUGAAAUGGCAGGAAACAUGACAUAACUAUGAGUAUGUACUGUUGGGAGGCGAACAAGUAUAUAAAUGAAAGUGAGUUAUUAAGAGAUUAUUUAUUUGAGGCAAUUUAUAUUUAAGUAAUCACACUUUAGACUUUUCAUUCUACACUGUGCAUUGUAUCUAGCCCAGGUGAGCCAUGCCUAUGCUUAUAAACACAGGAUCUGUUUUCUCCCUAGAAUGAAGAUCUUGGUGGAUUGCUUUUGCCUUUAUACUUACAGUGAGCAAUAAACUACAUUCUCACAUUUGAAAUGGAGGUAAGUUGGCAUGGAAUGUUCACUUUUAUAAGUCUAUAGACAAAACCUUAAGAAUUACUGGAAGAAAAUGGUCAAAUGAUCCUCCAGGACAGUGA
Pelobates cultripes (western spadefoot toad) is the source of this 1819-nucleotide non-coding RNA. The record is from the annotation of a GenBank genome assembly. NCBI's taxonomy places the organism in Eukaryota, Metazoa, Chordata, Amphibia, Anura, Pelobatidae.